AGAGCGGGCGCUGCGAGCGGCAGACACACAGCGGCUCCGGCACCUCUCCUCGACUCAGGUCACCGCCCGCGUCCAGCCUGCACUCGAGCUGCUCGCCGCAGCGCCCGUAGAAGUUAGCGCUGGGGUCCAGAUCGCAGAGCUGGCCCUCCAGGUUUGCGCAUUCCCAGCAGCAGCCGCACGCAUCCCGCACCCGGCCUGCUAGGCAUCCCCGCGGCGCAGCGCACUCUUCUGGCCGGCAGGGAGCACAACCCUCGCCCUCGGCUAGCAGCCGCAGCCAGCCUCGCCGCAGGUAAUCGGGGCCUGUGGACGGCCUCGCGCUAACGGGUAGCUGGGUCCACACCACCAGCAAUAAUGGUAGUAGCAAGGACAGCGCCAAGAUCACAAUGUGGACCACCAAUAAAGCAAGGAUUCUAUGUCCCAGAUGGAGGUGAUGCCCACCCCACCUUAUCCUGCACUCGAUUCUAGACAUCUGUGAAGAGAGCGGAAUUCAUCCCUUUGCUGCCUGUCUCAUCUAGGUUUGCUGAGAUGUGAACUAGACUGAGAACCACAGUGUUCACGACCAUACCUAGAGUCAACAUGUAGAUUUUUGUUGUUGUUGCUGCUGACUCCAGCUUGGCCAUGGCAGGGACAGCGCAUGACAUGGCUCCCACCCCUAGAAAAGAGCCAGCAGGGCGUGGGCCUCUGGAAGUGUCGAUGGUUGCUGUGGGCAUACGGCUUGAUUGUAUAAAAUUAUAUAUUUUAUUUAUGCUCUUCCUUUA
This 758-nucleotide long non-coding RNA is filed under the name Mus musculus (house mouse). Its description in RNAcentral is "predicted gene, 35782, transcript variant 2 (Gm35782)". The record is from RNAcentral. Lineage: Eukaryota; Metazoa; Chordata; Mammalia; Rodentia; Muridae.